GAUGAACGCUGGCGGCGUGCCUAAUACAUGCAAGUCGAGCGAACGGACGAGAAGCUUGCUUCUCUGAUGUUAGCGGCGGACGGGUGAGUAACACGUGGAUAACCUACCUAUAAGACUGGGAUAACUUCGGGAAACCGGAGCUAAUACCGGAUAAUAUUUUGAACCGCAUGGUUCAAAAGUGAAAGACGGUCUUGCUGUCACUUAUAGAUGGAUCCGCGCUGCAUUAGCUAGUUGGUAAGGUAACGGCUUACCAAGGCAACGAUGCACAGCCGACCUGAGAGGGUGAUCGGCCACACUGGAACUGAGACACGGUCCAGACUCCUACGGGAGGCAGCAGUAGGGAAUCUUCCGCAAUGGGCGAAAGCCUGACGGAGCAACGCAGCGUGAGUGAUGAAAGUCUUCGGAUCGUAAAACUCUGUUAUUAGGGAAGAACAUAUGUGUAAGUAACUGUGCACAUCUUGACGGUACCUAAUCAGAAAGCCACGGCUAACUACGUG
RNAcentral lists this ribosomal RNA (497 nucleotides) under uncultured bacterium. Its description in RNAcentral is "partial 16S ribosomal RNA". It matches the Rfam family "Bacterial small subunit ribosomal RNA", at positions 28 to 507 of the family's 1533-position model. The record is from RNAcentral.